GUCAGUGGUUUAAGUACGUGCAUCUUUACCCCACAUCCCUUUGCAUCAAAGAUAGCUAUCAAUUCCUUUAAACAAAAUACAGUUUUUUCAACUGUAAAAAUGGUGUGCAUCUGGCACGGGUUUGUCCCGCCUCCUCGGAUGAGAUCGAACGUGAUGAUCUCAGCCAUUCCAGUGCUUCUCCAUUGCGAAGCAUUUGAUUGGUGUGGCAUUUUGCUGUGCUGUGCACGAACCUCCAAAUCCACCUCUGGGGUUCUUUGCAAAAUAUACAGAAACCAAAAAGUGAGAGCCACUUCAAAGU
This is a non-coding RNA of Pelobates cultripes (western spadefoot toad), 298 nucleotides long. Lineage: Eukaryota; Metazoa; Chordata; Amphibia; Anura; Pelobatidae. The record is from the annotation of a GenBank genome assembly.